AUGUUCUGUGAAACUGAGAGCUGGAGUCUCAUUUCAAGAGUCCAAAUAAGUUACCACUUCCUGCUCCUCCCUUUCUUCCCCCUUUACUCCAUCAAGUUAGAGCAGUUGAGAGGAGUGUUGGUUUUUUUUUUUGUUUUUUUUUUUCUUUUCCUUUUUCCUUCCUGCCACUUCUCAGAGCAGUUGGGCUUCAUAAGACCUUGUGUCCCUUCAGCCCCAACCAUGAUGGCUGACCUCCAGCAUCUUACUUGAGGUAUAGGCUGAACCAACACUUUCCAAGGGUUUAAGGAGUGCAGUACCUGAGCAUUAGGUAGUGCAUCUGAUAAAGACGAAUGAACUUGGUUGAUUUUCAUGCAUGAGACCUGCUGGAGACCAUUGUCAGGAAGGCAGGGACACUACGUAUUUGAGUGCAGAAUGAUUAGGUGAGUUCAAACUUUCUGUAGUUCUUUAUAUGUCUCAAGUGCUUGGUUUGUGCUCCAAGGAGUUGAGUGCAGCAACAGUAAAUGCUUUUUAAAGCAAUGCUUCUGUUCUUGGCAUGUUAAGGAUCAGUGUAGGUGUGCUUUUAGGCACAGUGCUUACUUCUAGAUGGAUUAGGGUGACUGGAACAUAGGGAUGGGAGAGUAGGGAGCCUGAGAGUAAAGCCUGAAACUUCAGGGACACAGAGCCUAUGCUGCAUGCCUGUGAAUUAGAUGCCAGUUUGAGCAGGUUGGGUGGAGAACACAUGCCCAGCAUAAGGACAUGAAAUCCAAGUUCUGCUCAGCACAGCAGGCUAUUGCAUAGCAGUGGAAUCAGGUGGAUGAGGUCUCUGUGGAUAAUCUUGGUUGGACCCCAUAAUAUGAGCUCUAAGGAACUCAGCUGCUUGCCUUGCUGCUUUGGAAUCUCAGUAUAAUCCUGUCCCUCACAACGGCCUCUGGUUUGGAGGGUUCACUGGUUUGCAGAGAUUUGAUGCCAGUAGUAUGCAGAGGCAGUGGAAACUUCAUUGGAGCUGCCUCCAAAAUCUUUUCUUGUAUGCAUGUAUGUUUCCUGGCACUUCUUUUUGUGAUCUUGCUGAAGAGCAGCUCCGAGAUUCCUCCCCCUGCAUCAUUUGCUCCCACACUCAGUGCCUUGCAGGAGUGUUAGGGUGACAAGUCUUGGUCAUCCUUCUCUCCUACGUCAAGACCAGGACCUGGAUUUAAC
Molecule: long non-coding RNA, 1173 nt
Filed under: Numida meleagris (helmeted guineafowl)
Lineage: Eukaryota; Metazoa; Chordata; Aves; Galliformes; Numididae
Description: lncRNA (ENSNMEG00000008798.1)
Source: RNAcentral